This 470-nucleotide ribosomal RNA is filed under the name uncultured bacterium. RNAcentral's name for it is "bacterial SSU rRNA". It matches the Rfam family "Bacterial small subunit ribosomal RNA", at positions 30 to 494 of the family's 1533-position model. The record is from RNAcentral.
AUUGAACGCUGGCGGCAGGCCUAACACAUGCAAGUCGAACGGUAACAUUUCUAGCUUGCUAGAAGAUGACGAGUGGCGGACGGGUGAGUAAUGCUUGGGAACUUGCCUUUGCGAGGGGGAUAACAGUUGGAAACGACUGCUAAUACCGCAUAAUGUCUUCGGACCAAACGGGGCUUAGGCUCCGGCGCAAAGAGAGGCCCAAGUGAGAUUAGCUAGUUGGUAAGGUAACGGCUUACCAAGGCGACGAUCUCUAGCUGUUCUGAGAGGAAGAUCAGCCACACUGGGACUGAGACACGGCCCAGACUCCUACGGGAGGCAGCAGUGGGGAAUAUUGCACAAUGGGGGAAACCCUGAUGCAGCCAUGCCGCGUGUGUGAAGAAGGCCUUCGGGUUGUAAAGCACUUUCAGUUUGUGAGGAAAAGUUAGUAGUUAAUACCUGCUAGCCGUGACGUUAACAACAGAAGAAGCACC